AACGAACGCUGGCGGCGGGGUUUAGGCAUGCAAGUCGAGCGAGAAAGUCUUCGGACGAGUACAGCGGCGUAAGGGUGAGUAAUAGGUAGUUCACGUACCCUCGAGACGCGAAUAAUUCCUCGAAAGAGGUUGUAAUGCGCGAUGAGACCACGGUCCUUCCGGGGACAGAGGUCAAAGGUUCGGGAUCCUUCGGGACCGAGCGCUCGGGGAGCGGACGACCUCCGAUUAGCUAGAUGGCGGGGUAACGGCCCACCAUGGCGAUGAUCGGUAGCCGGCCUGAGAGGGUGUACGGCCACACUGGGACUGAGACACUGCCCAGACUCCUACGGGAGGCUGCAGUCGCGAAUCAUUCACAAUGGACGCAAGUCUGAUGAUGCCACGCCGCGUGCGGGAUGAAGGCCCUUUGGGUUGUAAACCGCUGUCAAGGAAGGGGAACCGCUGGAUGUGAACAGCAUCCAGU
This 460-nucleotide ribosomal RNA is filed under the name uncultured bacterium. Its description in RNAcentral is "bacterial SSU rRNA". It matches the Rfam family "Bacterial small subunit ribosomal RNA", at positions 29 to 472 of the family's 1533-position model. The record is from RNAcentral.